UCUGGGGCUACUUACUUUUUUGUUCCUCAUGUUGCUUCCUUCAGGUCUUCUCAUCUUCGUGCGUAAUCUGUCUGCCCUUUUGUUCCGCUAUAUGUGUUGUUCUUUGGUGCUCCCAUUUUGUUUCUUCUCAUGAGCAGCCACAAGUCUCCUCGAGGUAGCCAUAUAUGAAUAGUCCUGCGCCAUCACAAACAAAAAGGCAACUACUGUUAGAAGAUGGGACGCCUCUGCACAGCUCUGCAACAGCUGUUGCGACUGACCCUCCAAGUGGAUCCAUAUCACUUGAUCAUGGUGCCAUCUCCGACGCAAAUGAUCCAGUAACCAAACGCCAUCGUCCUUUUAAACACGUUAGUGAUUGGGUAAUUUUGCUUUUAAUUAUCUUCAUCAAACCUGCUGUGAUGGUUCUCUGAUAACACAAACGAAGACUUUUGCCUUCCUAACUCUUUCAUGCAAUGGCCUUUGAUAGAUUUUUCACCAACAGUUUUGCCUACACAUGUCUUUAUAAUGUUUGAUUUCUUCAUCCAAUCCCUCAAAUCAGCAUGAACACGAGCUCAAAUCCAUGUUUUCAAAUAUGUUAGAGAUGCCAGCUAAAUUCAUUCACCAGGUUAACAUGUGUGCAAGCCUAAUAUUUCCUCUGUCUAUAAACAAUGCCUAUAUGGUUUUCCAUAUUUUCCACCGCUCCGCAGCAAAGCU
Populus euphratica (Euphrates poplar) is the source of this 690-nucleotide long non-coding RNA. RefSeq lists it as uncharacterized. NCBI's taxonomy places the organism in Eukaryota, Viridiplantae, Streptophyta, Magnoliopsida, Malpighiales, Salicaceae. The record is from RefSeq and is a predicted model, not a curated record. The transcript has 3 exons.